ACGCUCGACACCUACGGGAAGCAGCAGUCGGGAAUAUUGCGCAAUGGAGGAAACUCUGACGCAGUGACGCCGCGUGCAGGAAGAAGGUUUUCGGAUUGUAAACUGCUUUAGACAGGGAAGAGGAAGGACAGUACCUGUAGAAUAAGCUCCGGCUAACUACGUGCCAGCACGCCGACGGUAAUCUGAGGCGGGCGUGGACGAAGGC
Molecule: ribosomal RNA, 205 nt
Filed under: uncultured bacterium
Lineage: Bacteria
Description: partial 16S ribosomal RNA
Rfam family: Bacterial small subunit ribosomal RNA
Source: RNAcentral